Molecule: ribosomal RNA, 467 nt
Filed under: uncultured bacterium
Lineage: Bacteria
Description: partial 16S ribosomal RNA
Rfam family: Bacterial small subunit ribosomal RNA
Source: RNAcentral
GACGAACGCUGGCGGCGUGCUUAACACAUGCCAGUCGAACGGAAAGGCCCUGCUGUUGUGGGGUGCUCGAGUGGCGAACGGGUGAGUAACACGUGAGUAACCUGGCCUUGACUUUGGGAUAACUUCAGGAAACUGGGGCUAAUACCGGAUAGGUGCUCCUGCUGCAUGGUGGGGGUUGGAAAGUUUCGGCGGUUGGGGAUGGACUCGCGGCUUAUCAGCUUGUUGGUGGGGUAGUGGCUUACCAAGGCUUUGACGGGUAGCCGGCCUGAGAGGGUGACCGGCCACAUUGGGACGGAGAUACGGCCCAGACCCGUACGGGAGGCAGCAGUGGGGAAUAGUGCACAAUGGGCGGAAGCAUGAUGCAGCAACGCCGCGUGCGGGAAGACGGCCUUCGGGUGGUAAACCGCUUUCGCCUGUGACGAAGCGUGAGUGACGGGAAUGGGGAAAGAAGCACCGGCUAACUACGU